GAUGAACGCUGGCGGCGUGCCUAAUACAUGCAAGUCGAGCGAACAGACGAGGAUCUUGCUUCUCUGACGCUAGCGGCGGACGGGUGAGUACCACGUGUAUACCUUACCUAUAAGACUGGGGUAACUUCGGGAGCGCUGAUCCCACAUCCGACAAUAUAUUGAACGGCAUGGUUCUUUGGAGCAAGACGUAUUUGCUGUCCCUAAUAGAUGGUUCCGCGCCGCAUUAGCUAGUUGGUACGGUAACGGCUUACCAAGGCAACGAUGCGUAGCCGACCUGAGAGGGUGAUCAGCCACACUGGAACUGAGACACGGUCCAGACUCCUACGGGAGGCAGCAGUAGGGAAUCUUGCGCAAUGGGCGAAAGCCUGACCGAGCAACGCCGCGUGAGUGAUGAAGGUCUUCGGAUCGUAAAACUCUGUUAGUAGGGAGGAACAGAUGUAUGAGUAUCUAUGCCCGUCUUGACGGUACCUACAGAAAAAGCCACGGCUAACUACGUG
Molecule: ribosomal RNA, 497 nt
Filed under: uncultured bacterium
Lineage: Bacteria
Description: partial 16S ribosomal RNA
Rfam family: Bacterial small subunit ribosomal RNA
Source: RNAcentral